Non-coding RNA from Chiloscyllium plagiosum (whitespotted bambooshark), 1030 nucleotides. NCBI's taxonomy places the organism in Eukaryota, Metazoa, Chordata, Chondrichthyes, Orectolobiformes, Hemiscylliidae. The record is from RefSeq and is a predicted model, not a curated record.
UCUUUAAUAGUUCCUGUACUUAAUCCUGAUUCUGUUUAUUCUGGAAGUCACGACAGGGACCCUCGGAUACAUCAACAGUGUUCAAGUAGACACUACUGACCUGGAUCAUUUUAAUGAGAUCUUCAAGAACUAUACUGGUAACAACUCCACGUUCGAGAGUAGAGCAGUGGACCGGCUACAGCAGCAGAACCAGUGUUGUGGAGUGAAGAAUUACACCGACUGGACUCAGUUUCCAUGGUUCAUUCACAGCGGGAAUAACAGUGUUCCCAUCAGCUGCUGUGCCAGGAAUCUUACAAUCUGUACUGGGGAUAUCGAGGAGCCAGAACUGCUUUAUACAGAGGGCUGCCUCUACACCCUCCGUGAUGAGCUUCGAUGGAUAUUCCUGUUCACGUUAGCCUGGGUUAUUGCUGUGUGCUUUUUACAGAGCCUGGGAGCACUGAUCAUCUGUCUGCUGACGAACUCUGAUCCUACUCAAUACCAGCUUUUAAAUACUGACAACUUCUCCUAGUACAGGACGGUUGCUGAUUGUCUGUCACUAAUCCAUGCAAAUAAAAUCAAACAAACCUUGAAUAUCAAACAGCGCCAUGCACAAAUAAAAAACACUUAUUUACUAAUUGUUUGAGAGAGACAGUGCCACCUUUUCACCCAUUGAAUCAACCUCUCUAGUUCAACAUUCUACUCCCCCAACCAGUAAGGAAGCCUCCAAUCCAGUUACUUCUGUCAUUCAGUCACACUCCCAUGUUUUGAGACACUCCCCUCAUCUUCAUCACCCAACCCUCCUCCCUAUGCUGGAAAGUGACCCCCACUGAAACUGCACAAGAAACGCAGUUUUCAACUAAUUCACCUGAGCACCCAGAAUUCUGUAAUCUGUUUGUCUAAAACUAGAACAAGCUACCUCAUGGCACAGUACUUUCACACAAGCUAACAGCUAUGACCUGUGGAUAUUAGGUGGUAUCAUCGCUUGGCUUAAUGUAACAUGUAUUUUCAUUUCAAACUAAGCAGCGAAUAAAAAUGUACAUUUUAAUUGAGA